This 96-nucleotide transfer RNA is filed under the name Coprinellus micaceus. It matches the Rfam family "tRNA". From Rfam's summary of the family: Transfer RNA (tRNA) molecules are approximately 80 nucleotides in length. Their secondary structure includes four short double-helical elements and three loops (D, anti-codon, and T loops). The record is from Rfam by way of RNAcentral. Lineage: Eukaryota; Fungi; Basidiomycota; Agaricomycetes; Agaricales; Psathyrellaceae.
UGCCCCAUGGCUGAGUUGGUUACAGCGUCCGACUGUUAAUUUCUUCCCCCUGGAUUGUCAAUCGGAAGGUCGUGAGUUCGAGCCUCACUGGGGCAG